This 77-nucleotide transfer RNA is filed under the name Bacilli bacterium. RNAcentral describes it as "tRNA-Ile". It matches the Rfam family "tRNA". From Rfam's summary of the family: Transfer RNA (tRNA) molecules are approximately 80 nucleotides in length. Their secondary structure includes four short double-helical elements and three loops (D, anti-codon, and T loops). Further hydrogen bonds mediate the characteristic L-shaped molecular structure. tRNAs have two regions of fundamental functional importance: the anti-codon, which is responsible for specific mRNA codon recognition, and the 3' end, to which the tRNAs corresponding amino acid is attached (by aminoacyl-tRNA synthetases). tRNAs cope with the degeneracy of the genetic code in two manners: having more than one tRNA (with a specific anti-codon) for a particular amino acid; and 'wobble' base-pairing, i.e. permitting non-standard base-pairing at the 3rd anti-codon position. Lineage: Bacteria; Bacillati; Bacillota; Bacilli. The record is from RNAcentral.
AGGGAAGUAACUCAGUUGGUUAGAGUACGCGCCUGAUAUACGUGUGGUCGUAGGUUCGAUUCCUAUCUUCCCUACCA